Molecule: transfer RNA, 72 nt
Filed under: Enterococcus faecalis
Lineage: Bacteria; Bacillati; Bacillota; Bacilli; Lactobacillales; Enterococcaceae
Description: tRNA-Glu
Rfam family: tRNA
About the family: Transfer RNA (tRNA) molecules are approximately 80 nucleotides in length.
Source: RNAcentral
GGCCCGUUGGUCAAGCGGUUAAGACCCCGCCCUUUCACGGCGGUAACACGGGUUCGAGUCCCGUACGGGUCA